Small nucleolar RNA from Lolium rigidum, 136 nucleotides. RefSeq annotates it as small nucleolar RNA snoR138. NCBI's taxonomy places the organism in Eukaryota, Viridiplantae, Streptophyta, Magnoliopsida, Poales, Poaceae. The record is from RefSeq and is a predicted model, not a curated record. The transcript has a single exon.
AUUGCCCUCGAAUAAUUGAUUGCAGAUUCUCAUUCUCAUUCGGUUCAGACAGGGGCAUAUAACAAUUUUGAAUCCUUAACUCUUUUUAUGACAAAGGGUGAUAACUUUUAUCGUCCUUAGAUGGAUUCAUACACCU